CAGCCGCCACGGUAAUACGUAGGUCCCGAGCGUUGUCCGGAUUUAUUGGGCGUAAAGGGAGCGCAGGCGGUUUAGUAAGUCUGAAGUUAAAGGCAUUGGCUCAACCAAUGUAUGCUUUGGAAACUGUUAGACUUGAGUGCAGAAGGGGAGAGUGGAAUUCCAUGUGUAGCGGUGAAAUGCGUAGGUAUAUGGAGGAACACCGGUGGCGAAAGCGGCUCUCUGGUCUGUCACUGACGCUGAGGCUCGAAAGCGUGGGUAGCGAACAGGAUUAGAUACCCGCGUAGUCCCUGUCUCUUAUACC
Molecule: ribosomal RNA, 301 nt
Filed under: uncultured bacterium
Lineage: Bacteria
Description: partial 16S ribosomal RNA
Rfam family: Bacterial small subunit ribosomal RNA
Source: RNAcentral